GCUUACAGUCAUACCACCCUGGGUAUGCCUAAUCUCUGAUCUCGAAAGUAAAGCAGGGUUGGGCUUGGUUAGUAGUGGUUCAUUCUGCUUUGGCGACCCUAGAUUAAUAAAGGGACUAAGCC
Molecule: ribosomal RNA, 122 nt
Filed under: Danio rerio (zebrafish)
Lineage: Eukaryota; Metazoa; Chordata; Actinopteri; Cypriniformes; Danionidae
Source: RNAcentral